Acanthochromis polyacanthus (spiny chromis) is the source of this 682-nucleotide long non-coding RNA. RefSeq lists it as uncharacterized. The record is from RefSeq and is a predicted model, not a curated record. The transcript has 3 exons. NCBI's taxonomy places the organism in Eukaryota, Metazoa, Chordata, Actinopteri, Pomacentridae.
GGUUUUGUUUUUGAGCAGCAGUCAGACAGGCGUGCAGGACACACAGAGACACGCUCCUAAUGAAACACUCUGCUGCUAGAAGAUCCCCGGUUCGAGUCCCGGCCCGGACUCUUCCUGCAUGGAGUUUGCAUGUUCUCUCCGUGCAUGCAAGCUUUACCAACUGACCUGUCCUUCAAACCCCCUCCCCAACCUGAUCUCUGACCUCCGAGCCUAUCCAUCUGCUUUGUGAACAGAUAUCUCGUUACACUGAGCUGGCACAAUUAGAUACAGUACAGCAAAUGCUAGGCAGGCUUACAAGAAAACAUGGAAAGAAACAACUUAAAUUCAUAUUUUUUAUAUUAAUGAAUAAUCUAAAUAGAAUUGCACUGAACCCAGAUAGCUGAAGAAACUGAUUUUUUCGGUUACUGCUGUUGCUUUAAUUAAAUCAAACGAAUCAUCAUGUUUGGUGAGCAUGACUGAGUACAAAAACAUGCCAGAAUGUAACUUUCCUUUUCUUCAUAAAGUACCUUAACAAUGUGGCUUUGGCUUCUAAUCAAGUGAGGUAAACACUUCACCAUCAAUCAGCUGCAUGCUCACUGCUGCUACUUGGUUGGGAAAUCUGCAGCUCAAUAAGAAACUUUGUAGGAAAAGGCCUUUGAGCAUUAAUGAAAUCAUGUCAAUAAAACAAUAGUGUCACAGUGAA